RNAcentral lists this long non-coding RNA (222 nucleotides) under Anolis carolinensis (green anole). RNAcentral describes it as "lncRNA (ENSACAG00000033663.2)". Lineage: Eukaryota; Metazoa; Chordata; Lepidosauria; Squamata; Anolidae. The record is from RNAcentral.
CCUUCUGAUGAUGGAGGCUUAACUGAUGGGGUGAAGACAAAUGACUUUCUCAGCAAUCGUGUCUAAAUGGAAGAAUUCUUCACCCUGUGAGCUCAGGGGUUUUCUCUUUUGCUGUGUGACCACCAGAUGGCCAAAAAGAUGUAUUUGACUAUGCUGUGCCCCACCUCAAGCCAAAAGAAGAGGCAGGCUGCUUCCCCCUUCACCAUUUGAAAUGUGAAAAAA